RNAcentral lists this ribosomal RNA (484 nucleotides) under uncultured bacterium. RNAcentral's name for it is "partial 16S ribosomal RNA". It matches the Rfam family "Bacterial small subunit ribosomal RNA", at positions 30 to 507 of the family's 1533-position model. The record is from RNAcentral.
AUUGAACGCUGGCGGCAGGCCUAACACAUGCAAGUCGAGCGGAUGAAGGGAGCUUGCUCCUGGAUUCAGCGGCGGAUGGGUGAGUAAUGCCUAGGAAUCUGCCUGGUAGUGGGGGAUAACGUCCGGAAACGGGCGCUAAUACCGCAUACGUCCUGAGGGAGAAAGUGGGGGAUCUUCGGACCUCACGCUAUCAGAUGAGCCUAGGUCGGAUUAGCUAGUUGGUGGGGUAAAGGCCUACCAAGGCGACGAUCCGUAACUGGUCUGAGAGGAUGAUCAGUCACACUGGAACUGAGACACGGUCCAGACUCCUACGGGAGGCAGCAGUGGGGAAUAUUGGACAAAGGGCGAAAGCCUGAUCCAGCCAUGCCGCGUGUGUGAAGAAGGUCUUCGGAUUGUAAAGCACUUUAAGUUGGGAGGAAGGGCAGUAAGUUAAUACCUUGCUGUUUUGACGUUACCAACAGAAUAAGCACCGGCUAACUUCGUG